This is a long non-coding RNA of Alligator mississippiensis (American alligator), 500 nucleotides long. RefSeq lists it as uncharacterized. The transcript has 2 exons. The record is from RefSeq and is a predicted model, not a curated record. Lineage: Eukaryota; Metazoa; Chordata; Crocodylia; Alligatoridae.
UGUGUCCUGAUACCGUGACCUUAUCUGCCUUGCCAAAAUCAUCUCAGUCCCACAUGCUUUCAAUUCUCCUCACCACUGAAUCUUUUGCAGUUGCACAGCUGGUUAAAGUUUUGUAUCCUGAAAACACAGUUUAUACAGAUAUAGGUGAGGAGCACACAACCAAGAAACAUACUUAAGGGUUCUGAAGAACGUUUGCAAAUGGGGACUUCAGGGUACCAGGAUUGACACCAUAGGGUUAUAACUUAGAACCUGAGCUGGAGAUCACUUAGAUCACAGGAUCCUUCCUCUCAAAAGAGAAGUGAAGGCAUGGACCUGCUGCUUGAAAUGGACACACCUGAGGAACUGGAAAAAAGCAUCUCUCAGAAGAGGCAGCCUGACAGGGACCUUGUUACAUGGCAUCAACAAACCAUGUGCAGCAUGUACAGAGAGAAACAAGAAACAUAAUGAGGUCAUAUUCACUGCAUAUGCUGAUGUAUUAAAAAGCUUUUAUUGCACCUCCA